GUUACUGACCUCUAUCACAGACAUUGAGCUGUUGACCACUACUCUCUGGAUGCAACCAUUCAGCCAAUUCCUUAUCCAAAAGAAGGGUGCCAGGUGUGGCUUUCUACAUCAUGCUACCCAGCAAUGCCAGAACAUUUCCACAAAAAAAAAAAAAAA
Molecule: long non-coding RNA, 156 nt
Organism: Aquila chrysaetos chrysaetos
Lineage: Eukaryota; Metazoa; Chordata; Aves; Accipitriformes; Accipitridae
Exons: 3
Source: RefSeq, a predicted model, not a curated record